UAAGCGCUGAAAGCAUCUAAGUGCGAAGCCCGCCUCAAGAUAAGAUCUCUAUUAGGGUCGUUAAAGACGAUGACGUUGAUAGGUUGCAGGUGUAAAGGUGGUAACAUCAAAGCCGAGCAAUACUAAUAACCCGAAACUUUCUUGUU
This 146-nucleotide ribosomal RNA is filed under the name Bacteroidota bacterium. RNAcentral describes it as "partial 23S ribosomal RNA". It matches the Rfam family "Bacterial large subunit ribosomal RNA", at positions 2765 to 2925 of the family's 2925-position model. Lineage: Bacteria; Pseudomonadati; Bacteroidota. The record is from RNAcentral.